This is a microRNA precursor of Nicotiana attenuata, 97 nucleotides long. It matches the Rfam family "MIR6149 microRNA precursor family". Lineage: Eukaryota; Viridiplantae; Streptophyta; Magnoliopsida; Solanales; Solanaceae. The record is from Rfam.
AUGUCAAAGCUUGAUACGCACCUGAAUCGGCAAUUACGUACAGACCAAUAAUAUUUGUACUUAUGCCGAUUUGGGUUCGUAUCAAACUAUGAUAUAC